AUCCUGACUGUGCUAAGGUAGCAUAAUAAUUUGUCUUUUAAUUGAAGACUGGAAUAAAUGAGUUGACGAAGAGAAAACUGUCUCCCUUAGGAUAUUUUAAUUUGCCUUUAAGGUUAAAAGGCCUUAUUCCCCCAAAGGGACGACAAGACCCUAAAAACUUUAUUCCUUACUAUUUAAUAAGAAUAUAAAAAAAAAGGAAUUUUACUGGGGCGGUAAAUUUUAACAAAAUUAUUUUUAACACUUUGUGUGAUUUAAAAGUACAUGUAUACAUACAAAGAAAUAGUUACUUUAGGGAUAACAGCGCAAUUUUCCCAGAGAGUUCUAAUCGGCGGGAAAGAUUACGACCUCGAUGUUGAAUUGAGAAUCCUACUGUAGAGCAGAAGCACAGGAAGGGAGUCUGUUCGACUCUUAAAUUUUCACAUGAUCUGAGUUCAAACCGG
Molecule: ribosomal RNA, 440 nt
Filed under: Ligidium ghigii
Lineage: Eukaryota; Metazoa; Arthropoda; Malacostraca; Isopoda; Ligiidae
Description: partial 16S ribosomal RNA
Rfam family: Bacterial large subunit ribosomal RNA
Source: RNAcentral